CUUCAGCUAUACCCGCAAGUCCUAGUCCCACCCCCGCUACCCCGUGUCCUGGGGACCGGGUCAAGAUGUGCGUAGGUGCUGGGAGGUAGACACCCCUCCUUCCUAGCCCCAGGCGUCACCCACGCCCAGGCCAGCACUGGAUCUUCCACUUACCUAACCUCCCCUCUCCCAAGUCCCAAGGCCACCCCCUGUGCCCCUCCUGAGAGCGGGUGACAAGCUGCUGAGACAGUGUCUGAUUCACCGACAGCUGAACCAGCUAUGCGUACUCGGAGGUUUGCACUAUAAGAAAUGCUAAAGAAAACUCUUCAAGAUGAAAGAAAAUGAAACCUGAUGGAGACUCAGAUCUUUGGGAAGGAAUGAAGAGCAUCAUAUAUGGAGAGCAUCACCUUGUGGUCAGUGAGUUCAAACUCCCGGGCUCUGCUACCGAUGGAGACAGUCUGUUGUCGACCUUGAGCGACUUUCACAUUCUCUCUGGAUGCCUGUUUCCUUGCUUGUGAAUAAACCAGGAGCAGACCAGAGUGAAAGUGGGAGACCAAUUCAGAGGCAAUUUCAGUGGUCCAGGUGGGAGAGGAUGGAGACCUGGACAAGAUGAUGGCAGAUGGAGAUGGAGAGAAGAGGUGGGCUUCAGAUUCAUGUUGGACAUGGUGUUCACACCUUGGUGAUGGUUUGGACAUGGGACAUGAGAGAGAAAGGAACUUCAUGAGUGAUUUCUGGCUUGAGUAUCUGAAUGGGUGGUGGUGACAUUUACUGAAAUGGGAAAAUGGGGAAAGGGUUGAUUUUGGGUCAUGUAUUUAUAAUGACGCAGUUGGCACAGUCAUGUGACUUUCUCCAGCAAUGCUUAGCUGGCACAGAAGAGGUGGGCUGUAGGUUUCAUCCACAGGUGAGUGUUUGCCAGGACUGGGCAGCAGGAGAGAAGUAAGGGAGCUGAAGGGACUUGCAAGGGAGUCAUUAGCAAACUGUUGGACUAGGAACUCUAAACUCAUUGACAGGGAAAUGAAGGCAGAAAGGGGCAGUUGGUCAGAGACAAGAUGGUGGAACCAGUGGGUCAACAGUGGGGCUAUUAGAGAAAGUAAGCUGGAAGGAUAAGAGCAAGUGGUCUUCUUCAUCUUGGUACCCACAGCUCCUACACAGCUUCUGAAAUAUAGUAAAAGCUCAGUAAAUAACUGUGUUUAAACUGAGGUCAUUGUUGGCCUGAGGAUGGAUCUUAGAGGGAUGGGGUUGCACCUUUCUCUAGUCCUCUAUUUCUUGGGUUCAGUGGUCUUUCUGAAUGAGUCCAUUCUGUUUCUCUGUUCAAUUUUUUCCUUUGGGAUCAGCACACAAGAACUUCUCUGCUUCCAGUCCCCAGUGGGAUAUGAACACGAUAGUUACUGCUGGGCUGUCCCAAAGUCACUCUGUGCUUGUGGGAAGCUGGAUGGACUGUGGACUGAUCUCUGGACGUUCAUUCGUUCAUUCGUUCAUCCACCCAUUCAUUCAAUAAACCCUCACUGAGCAGCUACUACAUACCUAUCUCCUUGCUAGGUUUUGAGUUAACAAAAUGAAUGAAUGAGUAAAUGGCCAAUAAAGUUUUGUUCAUUAGGGAGCUACAAAUUGUAGCACUUGAGUUUCUGGACUUGAACUUUUUGGGUCUGUCCAUCAUUCACAGUCAUAUUGAGACUAGAGGGGACAGCCUUUAUUCUUUAGCCUGCUGUGUUGUUUUAAAAUUUUACCAAAAUGUAUAAUACUCUGAAGACACACAAAAGAAAGAAAUCCUUCCAUGGUGUCUAAAAAUGUACAAAUGCAUCUCUCCAAGAGCCGGGGUCAGGUCAGCAGUUAUGCCUUCAUCAAGGGCGGGAUUCAGAUUCUCACCCCUUUAACAUUUUUUAAACCAUGACAUAUUAUUUUUUUAGGAUGGUUUUACCUACCUAAGGGUAAUGCUCACCAAUUCUUCUUCAGAAGUUGCGCUGUCUUCCACGUGAGACAUUUAAUUUUAAUUAAUCGAAUCAGCCAUUUGUUUUGUUUUUCCAAACCCUCCGCCACUCCCAGGUAAUCUGAAGAAAUCUCUCCCCAAAGGGAGCCAGGCUUUUGCGUGCUCCGGUGUCAGCCCUUUCCACUGUUGCCUCCAGCAGGUUGGAGGGACCAAGUCUCAGGUAUUUGCUGAGCGUCUGGCACAACGGGGUGCAUAAGCGCUGUUCAUAAAUUCUGGUGUGACUAAUGGAUUGAUAUAAAUCUCAUUAGGGCUAGGAUUGUGCCUCUGUCCCCAGCACCUAGAACAGUGCCUCCUACCAUUAGGUGCUCAAUGAAAAUGUUUGUUGAAUGAAUGCAUGAGUGAAUAUUACUGGGGACUGUUGAGCUUUGUAAAUCCAAAAAUGUGCUCUAGGGUCGACUCAUUUGAUUCCCUUCCAGCUUUCAGCGGUGAUAUGAAAUAGGGCUGUGAUUUUAGAAUGUUUUGCUUGUGCUCUGCAUCCUUUUUUGGGGAGGUGGGGAAGAGGUUAGCAGGCCGAAGCAUCCUUAACCAACACACCAAUCUGAGCUGCUCCUCCUCAUCCAUUCUCUAUCUUGCGGAAAGUGCCACUCCAACCAAAUCAGUGAAGUGAAAAAAGAAAACAAAGCUGGGUUUAAUUGUUACUCCUAUCCCUUACACAAGAGUGCCACGACUGAAAAUACAGAGGGGCAGCCUGAGGGGCUGUAAAUAGAGAGACUAGAAAGUUAGGAAAGAAGACUCUGAAAGAGCAUCACUUUUGGAGCCUUUCUUGAGGAUCUCCUCUGUCACCUGCAGCUUGCUCUGUGUCUUGGCUUAUGUUGGAGGAAUGCUUACUCCUCACUCAUGAUGCUCUUUCCAUGAGAAGGGGCCUUCUGUUCCAUCAACAAUGCUGGCCUUUCCAUACCCUUCCACUCAUUCCUCCCAGGAAAGGAUAGGUGACAUAACAGAGUGGUGAGUUUGAGAUGAGGAAUUGAGUUGUGUAGCCCAGUCUCUGCCUCUCUUGGGACUGACCUGUCAGCAAAGAGCCCCAUUCUGCUCUGCUCCAGUAUCCUCUAUAGAGGGCAGGCUAUGCAUCUGUUGGGGGCCUUGUAAUCAUGCAGUGCUGCCUGCGACUGGGUGGGUAAGGCUGCCUAAUUUUGGGAUUCAGUACUAGAAAGCUCAUUAUUGCUGCACACCUAAGACACAUCUUCCCGCCCAACCUUGAUGAGUAAUGUCAUAGUCGGUUUAGGCUGCUGUUAGAAAAAUACCAUGGAUGGGGUGGCUUAAAUGACAAACAUUUAUAUUUCACAGCUCUGGAGGCCGGGAAGUCUGCAAUCAGGGUCCAGCAUGGUUGGGUUCUGGUGAGGGCUCUCUUUCUGAUUUGCAGAUGGCUAACUUCUCCCUGUGUCCUUGCGUGGUGGAGAGCAGACAGAGAGGAAGCAAGCUCUCUCAUGUCUCUUCUUAUAAGGGCACUAAUCCUAUCACGAGGGCUCCACCUUCAUGAUCUAAUUACCUCCCAGAGGCCCCCUCUCCAAACAUCGUCACACUGGGGUUAGGGUUUCAAUGUAUGAAUUUUGGGAGCACGCAAACAUUCGAUCCAUAGCAAGUAAUAAGGAUGAGUUUUUCAUCUCCAUCUGCCUGACUCCUGUGGCUUUCUCUCAUUUGGUGCCAAACUUGGGUGAGGAAGGGACCCCCUCAAAUACCAAUAGCUGAGGUCUAGUGUUUGGAUGUUUGGGGAUUGAUCUGGCUGAAAGGGACAGAGACAAGCAGGUAGAGUUUCUUUGGUUCAGUGCUUAACCAGUUUGCACAGAGCAAAUCCCCUUUUCUUUCUAUGGGUGCCGCAUGCACGAUGCCCUAGCUCUCAGUGCUGUUGCUGCUCCUUCCCUCUGCUAUGCUGCUUUGCUGCAGCCCUUGUUUUCCAGCAUCCUCCAUCUGAUAACAUCACGGGGAGAGAGGGGAACGUUAGGAAAAGAGAGCAGGAAGAGAGGGCAGAAGCGUUCCCAGUAGUAGCCCUGCAGGCAGCACCCUUGUUUAGUGCAAACUGACUCUUCUUCAGCCAAGCAGAUGCUUAAGACCCAAGUUUCAUUAGGCUGAAUUCCUUCCCAUAGGGCACCUUGGUCCCUCAUGCAAAUGAAACUCUUCAUGAGCCAACCCCGAUAGCUGAAGAGGCCAUGUCUGAGUCUGAUAAUGCUCUGUAUAAUAUAUGUAAAACACACAAUAAUGCAUACAUACACACCUACAUUUUAGGAUGCAAUGCUACAGGUGAAUACAUAUAUGCACAAGGAAGCAUGUGUGUACACAUACAUUUGCUACAUAUAAUAAAACAACUCUUCCCCAAUUAAAAUUCAAAGUCAAUAAAGGUAAGGAAGGGACUGUUUCUGUAUUUCUUCUGUCCUCAAGGUUAGCUCUUCGAGUCAAGCCUCUCUUCCAAGUCGGGAUUUAAUUUCCUUGGAAAGAUAGUCUAUGGAAGGCAAGAAGUGCAGGACCUGGGUCCUUUUUCUGACCACGUCUCUGGCUGUAUGACCUGGAGCACAACCGUCCUGCUUCAAAGCCUGCGUUUCACUGCAUAGUACGUAGGGUAGAGGCUGUGCUGCGUUGGCUCUCCUAGCUCCUUCUGUGGAUGUAUACUCUGAACAAAUAGCCAACGAUUUGUAGGUGGCCAGAGGAAGAUAUGGAGGGAAGGAGAAGGUGGUGAGGUUUAAAGAGACAGGAAAUAUGGCAGCCCUCAUUUACUGGAGAGCUACGUAUUAUACAAUCGGCAAAGGAUGGGGUCUAGGGGUUCCAAUGGAAUCAUUGCCUACCUCAUCAGUUACUGCAAGAAUGAUAGAAACAACUGUGAUUGGCUUUGCACUCUUUAGAAAAAAAGGCAUUUGCAGGUGUGGCAGAGAGGAAGAGAGAGAGAAAGAGAGAGAGAGAACAGGCUGUGUGCUUGGCACUUUGUCGGGUGCUGUGAGGGGCACAGGGGUGGACCAGCCGCGGACCCUUCCCAAUUGCUCGUCAUCUCUGGCGAGAGAGGUCAGCCGCAGGCUCCGGAGAAAUAGCUCCUUAAGAGCGGGACAGGAAAAGUGCUGUGGAAUUUGAUAAACUAGAACUGAUAUCUAAAACUCUCUACUUGAGUCAUUGAGCAUUUGCAAGACAGAUUCCUUCAGGAGAGGGCCCCACAGGACUCUUGUUUGGGCUCUCACCUCACUUAUCCCAUGGAAGGCAUGAUCAACAGUGACUGAAUGUGUUGGCCCACAUUAUUUACAAACACCGUGCUUGAACCGUGGUUAGGCAGAGACGUAUUUGGAGAAGGUUUUGUGCUCACUACAGCUCUGUGCUAGAAAGGUCUGACUCGAAAUGCUUCAAUUGAGUUUCUUAACUAUUUACCUUGGUCCUUCGUGUUUUUUGUUUUCCAGUUCUUCCUCAAACACGCUCUUUCUCUUCUUCCGAAAACAGUCAGAUGGCUGAGUCUAAUGGGACUGUGAUUAUCUUACUAGAAAGACAGCACUUUGCAAAGCUUGCUUUAUAUUAGAUUCCCUUCAAAGUCUACACAGGGCGUGUGAGCAUGAGGGCAAUGACAUCCACAUAAGGCCUACAGCUGGAAAGAACAUUCUUAGAGCGGGAAGUGCUGUGUGAACAGUUGUCUGCUCUGCCCCAACUGUUGCCACAUGUGGGUGGGGCCCCCUGAAGGAGAAGGCAGAAGGGCUCUAGGUUUCUGGGGUACAUAUUAGGCUCUGAGCCACAGUUACCGCUACUAUUAUUAUUUAUAGUUAAAACUACUCAGUUAGUAUUCAUGGAAAAUUUCUAAGGUAGGAAUUAUUGUGACCUGCCGUUUACAAUUUGAAAGGACAUGCAAUUUCACUAAGGUUAUAUCAAUAGUAAAAGGCAGAACCAGGAUUCAAACCAGGCUCCAAGAUUUCUCCCCCACCUUUUCUUUUUUGGAGAGGAAGAUUGGCCCUGAGCUAAUACCUGUGCCCAUCUUCCUCUGUUUUGUAUGUGGAAACACCACCAAAGCAUGGCUUGAUGAAUGGUGUAGGUCUGUGCCUGUGAUCCGAACCCACGAACCUGGGCCACUGAAGCGGAGUGCACCGAACGUAACCACUAUGUCACUGGGCCAGCUCCCAAGUUCUUUCCCUUUUGUUGAAGGAAUGAUUUAGUGAAGGAAUGACUAGUGAUAUCGUGAUACGCACCAGCCGAACUUUCACUAGGAAUUGACCUGAUUGUUGAUGUUUUGUAAUUUGUGUACUUUCCCCCCAGUAUUGGCAUGAUUCUUUAUCUAAAUUCAAGAGGUCACUUCUUAACUAAGCAUUUCAGUGUUAGGAGGCACCAUCAAUCAACCAACAAAUUUUGGUCUCUGUAUAUUGAUACCUAGGUGCCUGCCAAGGUGAAUUUAUGGAGAGUAUCAGAUACUCUUCAAAUGCUCAUUUUAGCCAACUAUUUCUUUCCCAGUUUUAAUGUGGAUAAUGUAUAGUAACACUGAAUGAACUUACAUUCUCUGUGCUCUCUCCUCACUCGUGUGGGGUAAAUGAACCCAAGGUGACCACUGAGGAGGCCGCAGGAAAGAAAGAAUGAAGGGACUGGCAUGAUUCAUAUCUUGAAAGCUAGUGUUUGAAUAAUGAGGAGUCACUUAUGAUUACUAUUAGAAUUUCCCCAUUCUUCCUCUUCUUGUUCUAGUGACUUUCAAGUCCCUGGAGUAUUUUAUUGUCAUUUCUGAUACAUAGACAGCUAAAGUGGGUAUCACCCUUAAGAACUUACAGAUGGAAGUUGACAACGCCUCUGCGAGAAAGAGGUAUCAUUACUGUCAUUCACGGAGAGCCUGAGAGUCUAGGCCUCCAUGCCUGCUCCACUGGCUACAAGUUCAGGACUCUCCAGAGCCCCAGGGUGUUCUCCUGGGAGCUUCUCCUCCCUCCCCUCCACCGCCACUUGGAGACUGUCACCUGCCUUGGAGGAGAAUUCUUAUUGAGAGUUCCUAAGCCCUGGAUUUUCCAGACUCAGUCCUCUGCCUCUCAGUGAUCAGCUCACGAGAGUUUGCCCUGAAACGUACACAGUGAUUUCUGUGCUACUUUUUGGUAUUUCCUGCUGGAGCUCGGUCUGGGUGGAGUUCCCUGUGGAAGUGCCAGAGUUUUCCUGUUUGUGCAGUUGAUUUUCAAAACCUUAAAUAAACUCUGUUGUGAUGUGUUCAGAAUCAUAACAACUCAACAACUAAAAUAGGUGCCUACUAUGGGCCUGGCACGGUUCUAGCAGCUGGGGAUACAACAGUGACCUCAGCAGACCCUGCUUUCAAAGAGCUUGCGCUUGGGUCCAGGACACUGAUUAGCAAACAGGCAUUUGCCCUCCGCGUGCUAAGUGCUGUGAAGGACAAAGUCCAGGGUGUUGGAGGUUGGGGGGGUGGUGCACACAGCAGGGGCAGUGACUGAGCCCAGCCUCGGGAGUGGCAGGGCUUGGGGGUGUGGGAAGUGCCAGCAGAGGCUUCCUAGAGCCCGAGCCAGCUAAACUGUAUCCUAACUACCAGAAACUAAUUUUUGUAGACUCUGUUCUCAAUUAUCUACAAGUAGAUGAUUGCACUUAAUUUGCAAGAAAACUUUUUGCAAUGGCUUGAGUAUUUCAAUUUCCUCUAUUUAUAAUACAUGUUACAUAGAGGCAUCAAAUCUCACAAGGACAGAGCUUCGGCAGCCCAGAUAGCCUGCUCAAAGGAGGGUUUGGGACGAGUGAAACACUGCAUUUCCUGCUUGGGACCGAAGAGAAGGGAGAAAGGAGAUAGGGGUGGGGGGCAUUGAAGUGCUUCCCAAGCUUCCGACCAUUCAGGUCUUUAUAGGGAGCGUCAUUAUUUCAUCUGAAGUGUAUUUUCAGGGUGUCAAGCAGGCACAUCUCUGUUCAAAUACCAGAUAGGCAACAAAACACAUUCCAGAGCCACCAGAUGUAAAUGACUCGUGGAUGAUUCUCUUUUUAGCUUCUCCAGGCCAUUGUUCCCCUCCAUUAGCGCAAAUAAUAAAGACCAACUUCUUGCCAAAGGAAAGAAUAGGGGGUGGGGUUGGGAACAAUGCAAAGGCUUCUGUGUGUCUGGCCAGACGAGUUCCCUGUGAUUAGUCUCCGAUCCACUUUUGAUCUCUUGGUCAGACAAUAAAAUGCCUAUUUAAUUUAAAAAUAAACUUUAUUAAGGUUUAAUUUACAUGCAAUAAAACACACCCAAUUUAAGUAUGCUGUUCUUUGAGUUUUGACAAAUGUAUACACGGAGGCAACCACCUCCCCAACCAAGACAUGGAAAAUUUUCAACUCGCCAAAGUUCCUUUCGGCCUUUUUAGUUACCCUAGCCCCAGCCCCGGGCAAGCGCUGACCUGCUUUCUGUCACUAUAGAUUAAGUUUGCCUGUUUUAGAAUUUCCAAUAAAUGGAAUCAUACCAUAUUUUUUCUUUUGUGUCAGGCUUUUUCACCCAGGAUCAUGUUUUUGAGAUUCAUUCUUGUUGUUCUUGUAUCCAUAAUUCCUUCUUUUUUAUUUAAAAUGCUGAUUUUUGAAGUAGCAAGCAACUGUUCAAGGUACCACUCAGGAAGAUGAGCAAAUCGAGGAAGUCCCUCUGGCCUAAAAAUUCUAUCAACUUGCCCAGGAAAUGAAGGCCUGAGAAUUGCACCAGGUUAGUACACACCGCAUUUAAGAACCAGCCAGGCACAGGAAUUUCUGGGCUCCAGGAGGCCCGGACGAUGGGGAAAGAUGAAACCUUGGUGAAUGAUAGAAUGCAUUACAGAGGAUGACAGGGCUAUUUGUUCAGUUCUGUUAUGAGUUCAGCAAAAUGUGACAAUCCUGGGAAAUAUAAAUAUAUAUUGCUAUAUUUAUAUGUGCAUUUGUCUCAGGAGACCUGGCGGGGAGUGGUGGGUAGCAGAGUGCGUUCCUGUAGGAUUGGAGUAGGCAGAGAUAACUGGGUAAAGCAGAGCCUGUCCCAGAUCACGUCAAUGCACAGUCAAUAAAUACAAAUGACCAUGAGAGCUAAUAUUUAUUGAGCACUUACUAUGCAUCAGGCACUGUGCUAUGUCUGUUGUAUGCAUUGCUUCAUUUAACCUGUGCCCACAUCCUGUGUAGCUCUGCCUAAGUCCCCUCGCAUCCCUUUCCCAUAUUCCUGCACACUGUUAUCAGCGUGUGCUGUGCUCCCAGCAGCCAGCACCACGGCUCUGUGUGGGGGACAGUCCUCGAGCUACUGGAACCGCUUUGCUUCCCAGCUCAGAGAGCAGAAGUUCCUGAGACUUUACCGGUGACCAGCCAGUGCAGGGGACAAUCACCCCAGCUCCCUCUGUCACCUGUCUUGUUCCCAGUCCUCCCCUCCAUGGCAUUUUGCUUGAUUCUCAAUCUUGCUUGGCCCCCUUCCCUUCCCUAGUCCCACUCCUCAGUUUGGGGACACUUCUUAAUAAACCACGUUCACAUGAGUCCUCAUCUCAGGUUUGGCUUCUGGGGACCCCAAACUUAGGCAAGAUACUGUUAGUACAGUCAUUUUACAAAUGAGGAAACUGAGGUUGUCUCUCUCUCUCUUACAUACACAUACACUCUCUUUCUCCCUCUCUUUUUCUUCUCUCCCUCCCUCCCUCCCUCUCUCCCUCCCUCUCUCUCUCUCUCUCUCUCUCUCUCACACACACACACACACACACACACAUACACACAUCGAGCUAACACCUACUCAUCCUUCAGAUGAAAGCUUGAACUUCACCCUCUCAGGCGGUCCUCCCUGAUUCCCAGUCUAGCUGAAGGCUCUCAGAGCCGUCCUUUGUAGUGCUCACUUUGGUUCUCAGUCUACAAUGAUCUGUGUGAUGAUUUUCACUAGUCACCAUCCCCCUGCUAGACUGCUGGCUCUGGGAGUUCAGGGACCCCAUCUCUUGUGCUCUUAGCUGUAUCUCCAGCACCCUAGCAGAGCUUCUAGAACAUAGUGAUUGCUCAGUAAAUAUUUCCUGAAUGGACGAAUGAUUUGAAGUUCCUUUAAUUUCCUCACAGGUGCUCGCUGGCCUCCUAGAUGCAUCUCAGACUCUGCAUGGGCCAGAAAUGAGUAAUGUAUAACCCCCAAGGGUGACAUAAGAUCUCCCACCCAAUUCUGUUCUUCUGGGUAUUUAGGGAAGAGCAAUAUCCAGGGCAAGGUGAUGGUACUUCGCUCCACGGGACAGAAAUUUAGCAUCAACUGGAGAGUUGAAUCUAGAGGGUGGUCUGGGAGGCUGGGUAGAAUUGGAUUGAUUAUUAGGAGAAAAUUCGAAUAAUAUCAUUUAAGUACACACACAUUCUGAAUUAAAUACACAUUUGUGGAUCCCUGUACUUCUUAAUAAAAGGACACUUAGUUCCAAGUUCUCGUUAAGAAGCUGAUAAGCAUCCAUUUUCUUCUAUUCCGACAAUGAUUAUUCCUCAACUCUAUAAAAUUUACAAACUGCUUCGGAAGCAUUGGUGGAGAAAGGUGCUGUAUGAAUAUAUGAGAUUAUUGAAAUAAAUGCUGAUUUAGAGAUUUCCCAGGUGGAGAGUUAAAAUAUACUGGGGCACAUGCACUCACUCUCACCCCACCCUCAGGGUACUUUCCGCUCUGAUCAGCGGAGAUAAAUUUUCCGACCUGACAGUUGACUGUAAAUCAAGAAGUGUGUUUUAAUAGUCACCACCUUUCUGCUUCUGUGUGCUGCUGUCUGAGGCAAUCCUUCACCUCCCGGGACACAAGACCUGAAGGAUUUUGGCACAUUCUCUCCCCUGCACGUGGAGAGGUGGUGCUUAGCAGCAAGGUAAAUAUUGGCAGGCUUGUAGGCGAGCAGUGAAUAUAAAUAAGUCAGGACAUCCUUAGAAAAGUUCAUCUCUGGAUCCACCGUUCUUUUUGCCAAUAGGUAAGAAAAUAGAAAAUCAUGAGUUUCUCAGGUUUUUGCCAAAUCACAACAAGAUAUUUUUGUAACAAUAUAAAAGCUAGAAAGUAUUUGAGAGUCAGUAAAUGCUGAAUAAAUAAUUCUGAAGGUGAACACAUGCCCUUAUUGCCACAAGCCCUGAUUACUGGGUUGGAUUACUACACUUGCUCCUCCUGACUUUAUCCCUCAUAAUCCUGUCCAUCAACGUUUGCUUGGAGUAACGCAAAUAAACCAGGCUGUUCCAUGCCCCAGUGUCUUUGCACCUGCUGCUGUUUAUGCCCGGACUGGAACCCUUUCCAUUAAUCCACGUGGGCCAGGGACAUUUUCUGAUCUUUCAACACUUGGUACCAGGAUCACCUUUAAUUUGCUUUAUGAAGCUUUUCUUGACAAACUCUCUCACUCCCAGACCUGCCACUUCAUCCUGUACAAAUGUGAUUGCACAUGUCUAUUUAACACAAACAUCACUGGCCUCUCUUGGCAAGUCUCUGCUCAUAUCCUGUACUCCCUCUGAGGCCAUAAUCAACACUUCAUUGCUACCCAGUUGCCCUUUGUGACUUCUCAAGCCUCUUCCCAAAGCAUUUUGAGUAAUGUAGCUUUUACUGAAAUGUUCACAAGGGAGAAAAGUGGAGGGCUUACACUGAACACCAUGUGGCCAAACUUCAUAAAAAUCUCCAUCAUUCCAAAAGCCUGUUCUCCUUUUGCCAGCUGCCUUCUCUCCUCUGUCUCUUCCAUUCUCUGCUCUCCUCUAACCUCCUUUCACCCUUGGAUCCCUCAACACGGCCACAAUCCCAGCUCACAAUCCAGCCCUUUCAGCCCUUUCUCCUUCAUUAACUUGUGUCCUUGAAGUUUUAGGUCCUAUUCAUCAAACAAAGUAUCUCUGUGAGAUCACUCCCCUUUAAAAGGCAAGGGUCACAAAAUCUCCACAUUUCUUCUCCUUCCACUAAAGACUGGAGCAACUUGAGGGUAGGAAUCAAGCCCUAUACACUUUUGCAUCUCUUCUGCAAAAUAUUUAAAAUAUUGUGAAAUGGAAGAAGAAAUAAAUGAAAAAAUAUAGCCACAGGUUAAAAUCCCCAAAGCCCCACUCUAAUCACAGUUUUCUUCUGUUUGAAGAUCUUCCUUACCUCGUGAACUCAUGCUUUGGUCAUCUGCCAUUUCUCCCUGACUCUAGCACUCUGCCCCGCCAUGAUGGGCCCUCUCCACUCCAGCCCACUGGGCGUGUUCUUGCCCUCAGGUGCUCAUUCGGGUUGUCUCUCCAGGCCUAGAAUAAUCUAUGUCAUUCAUGAGGAUGGUUGGCGGUGGUUUACCAUCACCCUAUUGGAGGCCAAGGUAGACGCAACUGUUCUGGUUUCGUAGGUCCGUCCUAACCCUUCCCAGUCUUCAAGGCUCAGUGCGGGUCUUUGCUUCCUCAGCAGACUUCAUGGAGGUCUGCAGUCCAGGCGUAAUGCUCUCUCUCAUGUCCUUAGGACAUAAGCCUUGAACACAUCCACUCUGAUGGCACUUAAUCAUUCAGCCUUAUAUCAUUGUUAAAUUUGGGGUAUGAGGCCUUGAGGUCAUCCUCUUUCCAAAAUGUGGUCAUCAUUAGGUCUGUUCACCAAAAUUUUAGGUGUUUUCCUCAUUUCUAGACUUGUGGUAAGUUUGUACUUGUCUAACCCCUUGAAGCUAUGUGUGGCUGUCUAAUUGACUCUGGCUAAUGACAUGUGAACAGAAUUGACAUAAGCCCCUUUGGGAAAUAAGCUUUCAGAGGAAGAGUGAUGGAUCAUGCUGUCUUUCCCUCUGACAUGGCGACUGGCAGUGUUUGAGGCAUCUGGUGGAUUGUCCAUCAGCCUGGGUCUGUGAAUGAGGACCCAGCGAUUCACAUGGGCAUUUGGUAUGAGCAAGAAGUAAACCUUUGUUAUGUUAUGCCAUUUAGAUUCAGAGAUUAUUUGAACAAUUAAUAACAUAAAUAAAUAAAUGUGUGUUGCUGCAGCACAACCAAUCCUAUCCAGACAGACUCUAAGUUCCCUGAAGGCAGCACUCAGGUAUAACUCACCUUUCUGUCCCCCAGAGAACAUAGCACAAUGCCUCACGGAUGUUCGAGAACUACUGCUGAUUGAUUAGACAUACUGUGAUAAGGUAAAAUAUAUGAGACUAGAGAGUAGUACUUGGUGUCAGGACUUCAACUUGAGACUUAGCCUCUAAAAAACCAAAAUAAAUGUACGUGAUGAUUUCAGUAGUAUUCCAAUAAGAUCGUUGCAUACAGGGAGGCAGAAGAGUGUAAUGCAAGGAACCUGGGCUCUCUAGCUUGAUAGACCUGGUUCAAGUGCAAGCUUUACCAGGUACUUGGCUGCAUGACCUUGGGCUGGUUAUUUAAGGUCUUUGAGGCUGGGAGAACAUCACUACUUACUAGGAAGGAUUAUUGUGGGGAUUAAACAAGAGAAUGUAUGUAAAGCCCUUGGCACAUAAUGAAUGGUCAACAAACGUCAUUCUCUUAGGCUCUCCUCCCACCAACUGCGUGUGGGUUGGUAUGAACUCUUGCUUAAUUCUCUGGGAACUACUUCCCUUCAUUUACACCCUCUGAGACCUUGGUUGCUCGCCUAGUCCCUGGAUUUCUUUAGCUUGGCCUACCUCAGAUCCUUAGGAUUUUGCUUUCCCUACCCCAUGCACACUCUGGCCUUCUGAGAAAUUCCAUAUGCAAAUGGUCACAGUUGACAGGAGCCCUUGGCAAAGGACUGCAAUGGGGGAAAAGGGUUCUUGAGACAGACUGUCUGCUGCCCCAAAUUUAAAAUAGGGCCCUUGGUAAGGUGUGUAUAGUCAGGGAGGUGAUCUCUAUGGGGAAGAAAGAAUUUAAGAUGUCAUGGUGACCAGUUCCAAGGAAGCCCCACCUUGGCCUGUGCCCUGGCUCUAAUGGCGGGGGGUUCUUCUCUUGAAUCCUGGGAUUGUAUCAGUGAUGGUCGCAGAGAGGUCUGUGAGAUUAUCUUCAAUGACUGACUCCUUCCACAGACUGGGUCUUGGUGUGGGGCCCGAGGGCUUAUGUUUUCUUGGACUCCUGGCCCAGUGAACUGUGUGUUUACAGGUUUACAAUUGUCCCUGACUGAGUCCUUGAGGCCACCUCCCCCCUUCCCCUCCCCAUGGAGCGCAACCGUGAUGUGGCAUAUCUAACCACCCCAAGGUGCUUGUGUAACUUGUUUUUCAAAGUCUUGGCAGGAGCUCCGGUCCUGAAGUGAGAAAGGGUGUUUACAUUCUGGAAGAGCAGUGCCGACAAAUGUCUUGCAUCAGGGCUGUUCUCCACCAAUCUCUGCUUCCCAGUUUUCUUCUCUGUGGGAUGGCUUGUGACAGCCACAGAGAUAGUCUGGGACCUGGAAGAAACGAGCCUGAACGUGAAAGCAGGUAGGCUGUGAGGCGGCCCUCAUGAAGCUUCAGGGCUAUGUAAACCGCCCUCCCUGGAAAGGUGAGGAGCUUCUUGAGGAUGAGGCGUUUGCUGCCCCACUGCCUGGUGCGGGGCCUCACACAGAGCGCAGCGCUGCCUGCAGGCGCUCAACAGACACGCGCUAAGUCAGUACACGGUGAAAAUACGUGGGAAGGCAACAUUUGAGAGGACACAUUGGGAACUGACACCCCAGUUAACAGCUUUCUUGGAACAGUACUUACAGUAAUAACAACAACGGUUAUUGGUUAUACCUCCUCUAUGCCAAGCAAAGGCGUAUAUUAUUUCCUUAAAUUCUACCAUAGUCAAUAGUUCUAGCAAGACGUAGUCCUCUCUCCAGUGAAUAGCGGAGGGCACGGAGACUCAUGGGCAGAGUCUGAGCAUCUCACCGGAGGUCACGGAGACAGUAAACCCGAAUUCCGAGCCCCUUGGGUGCACGGAAGCCAGUGCUUUUCCGCUUCCGGUUCCUCCACACCGCCCCUCACCCCUGCUGUCUCUGCCUCGUGAAACAACGGUAGGGCAGCUGUCCGUUCUUUUCGUCAUUUCUUCCUCUAGCAAAUAGGCGUGAAUUCAGCACGGAAAGAGCACUGGGGCGGCAGCCCCAUUCCAGAUGUCUGCUUUGUCAUCCUUAAGAACACCCGCCCGUGUUCAAGGCCUUCUAGUACCUCAGUCUCGCAACCCUCCCUGGAGAGCGCCCUCCCCUCCCCUCCUCCCUUCCUCCCUCCCUUCCUCGUGGCCACUCAAGGCUUCCUUCUUUUCUUCUUCUGCCUGGCAUCAAGGCCAGGUUUUCACUUCACUAGAAAAACCUUGCUACAGGUGUUAUUCUGUGGACAGUCCCUGGCACUCAAAUGUGCACUCAAUAAAUAUUUACUGAAUUGCACGCUAAAUUCUAGACAAAAGAAGAAAAGAGUGGAUCCAGAAGAAAAUUGAAAAGCUUCGGGAGUGGGGGAGUGAGUGCAAUAACCAACUCUCUUUCCUUCCCCCUGCCCGCCCCCCUCCCUUAGGAGGGAGGCAGCGGCACAGUCAGUGUUAAGGCUGUCAUUUGAUUACAGUAACAUCCAAACAGAUUGAAAAGCUCCCAUCAAUGCCGGAGCAGAAGUGCACACGCAGGGGGUUGUUUCCUUGGAAAUGUUUCAGCUGUGAUUACUUUCCAAAGAGAAAUAGCCAAAACACUUCCUUGACCCUCUGGGGAGAAGAAGUCACAAUUGGACAGAAAGUCAUUUCUGUGGCCUUUCGUUCGUGUGUGUGUGUGUGUGUGUGUGUGUGUGUGUGUGUGUGUGGCGCAUGCGCGUGCCGCUGCACCUUUGGCGUGUACUGUCCGUAGGGCGCCUUUGACAGCCGGUCUAUUCAAAGGCUGGGGCCGUGGGUUGGCGGCUCGGUGCCUGCCGCCGCGGUGGCUGAGAUCAUGCUGUUGAUUUUAUUUUACAGAGAGCAGCCCGGCCUGUUGUGCAGAGUACAGAAUGUUCUCUUCUGUGAACUGAGCUUGAACUUUUCCAACCCACUUUGUUUGGGGAACCAUACAGACACAGAGGGGAAAAGAUAGGGAAGAUAACCCCCAAAUGGUUGAAAUCAUUGUGUUCUCUCUGAUUUUGGCACAGAUCGUUUGCUUUUCACUGCUCCAAAUUAAAAAUCCCAAGCAUUACAGUUCUUGGAAAAAUGGAAUGCCUGUGAUGUCUUUUCUCUAACUCAGGGCUCUGGCUUUGACUUUGGAAAUUAACAAGUCGGUCACUGUCACUCCUCAAUUUCCUUUUUUUUUUUCUCCUAGGCAUUCAAGGGACAGGGACAACAAAAGCUGUUUCCCUAUAAGGAAAAGAAAAGGUUCCCAGUGCCUGUGACUUCUCUCCCAGUUGUUCAGGCUGUCACAACAUUACAAAUAGUGUUCCCCAAUUUGCCAUAUGGCCUGAGAUUUCAUAAUGAGGGCUUUGGGUCUUUGGCCUUCAUAUACAUCACCAACAUGAGAAGCUGCCAAUGCUUGGUAAAGUGGUUUGAAAUUUAUCUUUGAAAACCAUUGUCUAGUCUUAGGCUCGAGUCUCCAGUUUGGGGAUACACGGAUAAAUGUUUAGGGGGGGCUGCUUAGAGAAUCUGAGGCAAGACCCCUAUUGGAUAGGCAGCAGUUUUCCGACUUCUUGUUAUUUUUAAUAGCAGUGGAUUCCUUUCUUUAUACGAAAACGUACCAAAAACUCGCUAGUGAAGCAGGAAGAGCACAACUUUGUGGGAGCGGAGCUGGGAAUCUGAAGUGUGAGCGCUGGAUUUGAGUCUCCUAAGCAUGGGUAUGUCUAUCAUAUUGGACAAGUCAUGUUUUCUAAAACUUGAUUGGUGAAAGGGGCAUAAAGCUUGUCUUGUGUACUUGCAGAGUCAUUUAUACGAGUUGAGUGCUAUCCCGCUGUACCGACAAAAGAGAUUCUCCUCUUGAAUUUGCAGCUCCAUCACCUACCUCAUAGUUUGGGGGCUGCUGCCUCGUGGCUCUUGCUCAUAGCUGGCAACUGGGAGAUUCCUACAAGACUAACUUUACUUCUGAGAUGAUUCUAGUUUCUCAAGAUUCCCUGCAGCCUUUUUUCUUUUUAAGUCAACGUGCCAUCAGAAUAUUGGUUAAUUAGUUCCUUCAUUCCAUAAACUUCCUUUGAAUACUUGCUAGGUUUAAGUUACUGGAUGGGAUCUAGGAGUUUGGAGAUGAGUAGAAUGUGUUCAAUGACUUCAAAGAGUUUGUUGUCCAGUGGGAGAAGCAGAAAUACACACACACAUACAUAUACAUACAUACACAUACUGCCCAUAUACACACAUAGUAUGUAUAUACAUAUGUAAUACUUACUGUAUAAAGGAAGUUGAUACAUGUUUAACGGAGCUACAAGUAAUAAACUGUGAAGGCAGAGUGUCACAGGAACAAGAUGAGGAUUCUAAUAGGUGGAAGUUGAGGCAAGAUCAGUCUAGACAGCAAAAGGAAUCAUGAAAAUUGAUGGUCUUUGUUAAUAGAAGCGUGUAGUAUAUUUGGGUAAUAAAGAGUAGUUCUUGUGGCCGAGCAGUUGAUGCUAGAGUAUGUGGGAAGAAGCAAAAUAAUAGAUUGAGCCUAAAUCAGGAUGUCCACAUCUCCCGCUUGUGCCCGUUUUAACCUUUCUUGCUAAUUUUGUAUGAAGCCUCAGAAUCCUUCUCAACACAAUUCCCCAAGAAGCCACCACUAAUCAUUUGGAGUUGGCAUUUGAGAUAAAAUCAUUUUUCAUUCCUGGCUUGGGCCUUAAAUCCCAUGCUUACAUAUUUAUAUUUUAUUUGGUUGUUCUUGGGGAAUUACUGCAUGUUUUUAAGAAUCAGAAUAUACAAAUGAAUGACAUGAUUCAACCUAUGAUUUUAUAAGGUAGCUGAUGACCACAGGAAGGAUCCGUGAGAAAGGCCAGAGAGUGGAAACUGAAACUGACUGACAACAGACUGGAAAGAGAGAGUCUGGUAAGAAGACUUCACAAAUCAUCUACAACAGCAUGAGUGGGAGGGAAAAGUAGGUUAGACGGAUAGGGCAUUGUGGAGGUAGAAAUGAUAGAACUUGCUGAUGCUGGAGGGAGAAAGAAGACUUGAUGAUAACUGAGUUUUCUCAUCUGGGUUAUGGGGAGAAGAUUGCUCUGGUCUGAACGUGUCCCCCUCCCAAUUCAUAUAGAGAAAUCCUAACUUCCAAAGAUAAUGGUAUUAGGAGGUAGGACCUUUGGGAGGGGCUUAAGUCAUGAGGUGGAGCUCCCAUGGGUGAGACCAGUGCCUUUCUUGUAAGAGAGGCUCCAGAGAGAUCCCUAGCCCCUUCUGCCAUGUGAAGAUACAACGAGAAGUCUUUGAUCCAGAAGAGGGCCCUCAGCCAACCAUGCUGGUGCCGUGAUCUUGGACUUCCAGCCUCCAGAACUGAGCCGGGAUUAAGGGACUGUGGUUUCUGCAAGUCCGCUGUCCGUCUAGGGGUUGGCAUCUUCCAGGAGAGGCUAGAGCUUGUGAGUCUCAGCUCAGCCUGAGGACCCAUGGAGAAGAACGUAAUUCCAGCUCCAAAGGCCUCUCUUGCACAGAAGAAUUUUUAGCGUUGAGAGGAAGUCUAGGAGGGCAAGAUGGCAGCCGACAACUCCAGACACUUUCUACCCUGCUCAAGACCAAUGGGAAAGAGGGCAGCCUGAGUUGCUGAAUGAACACUGCAGCCUGCAUGGAGGCUGACCAGCCCGUCCCCUCACCCCUGUGACCUCAGGAAGGGAAACUGGCAGAGCUACGCUGAAGGGGAUUAGCCAAGGCCACAGAACCCAAAUCUUCUCCUGAUUGGUGAGUGGGGUGUUAGGAAUGUGUGAAGGAGGUGACUCUGCCUAGCUCAGCCAUCUUCCAGGGACACCUCCAUGGUCACAUUGGGAUUGAGGCUCAUAAAUUUUCUGCUUGGGGUUCUUUCGCGUAGACCCAAAAGUACAUUCU
RNAcentral lists this long non-coding RNA (18586 nucleotides) under Equus caballus (horse). Its description in RNAcentral is "lncRNA (ENSECAG00000060322.1)". The record is from RNAcentral. Lineage: Eukaryota; Metazoa; Chordata; Mammalia; Perissodactyla; Equidae.